GUAGGUGCAAGCGUUGUCCGGAAUUUAUUGGGCGUAAAGCGCGCGCAGGCGGUUCUUUAAGUCUGAUGUGAAAGCCCACGGGCUCAACCGUGGAGGGUCAUUGGAAACUGGAGAACUUGAGUACAGAAGAGGAAAGCGGAAUUCCACGUGUAGCGGUGAAAUGCGUAGAGAUGUGGAGGAACACCAGUGGCGAAGGCGGCUUUCUGGUCUGUAACUGACGCUGAGGCGCGAAAGCGUGGGGAGCAAACAGGAUUAGAUACCCUGGUAGUCCACGCCGUAAACGAUGAGUGCUAAGUGUUAGGGGGUUUCCGCCCCUUAGUGCUGCAGCUAACGCAUUAAGCACUCCGCCUGGGGAGUACGGCCGCAAGGCUG
This 372-nucleotide ribosomal RNA is filed under the name uncultured organism. RNAcentral describes it as "partial 16S ribosomal RNA". It matches the Rfam family "Bacterial small subunit ribosomal RNA", at positions 528 to 896 of the family's 1533-position model. The record is from RNAcentral.